Molecule: long non-coding RNA, 491 nt
Organism: Amblyraja radiata (thorny skate)
Lineage: Eukaryota; Metazoa; Chordata; Chondrichthyes; Rajiformes; Rajidae
Exons: 3
Source: RefSeq, a predicted model, not a curated record
AUAAAUGGGGCUAGUUUAGCUUGAUGGGGCAUCCUGAUUGCAAGGACAAGUUGAGCUGAAGGGCCGGUUUCCAUACUGUAUGUACUCUAAUUCGUUCCUUGUACAUGUUGUACCAUAGAGAGAAGGACAUGGAAAAUCUGCUCCAACAUCAGAGCCAAAGAUGUACUUAAAUUAAAUUGAUUGCACCUGUAAUUGUCCUCGUUCCCCUCAAAAACCUGUUAAUUACAAUAGAACUGAAUGUCAGUGAGACCCAGAACUAUUAAAUGUUUAUGACAGUGUGAUGGAAGAAUCACGGAUGGCUGUAUGUCAAUGUCCACAGAUAUCAUUUUGUUUUUCUAAAAUCCAAUGCUCCCUUUGGGUCUUCAUACAACUGACCUUGUUAGGGUCCUAAAUAACAUGGGCAGAUGCUUGUUUUUGCACGAUUUGUAAGUGGGAAGUUGUGGUCAUGAAGGUAGAGUGGUGUUUUGCAAAAUUGGCUGUGGUUGUGAAAA